RNAcentral lists this ribosomal RNA (502 nucleotides) under Candida albicans. RNAcentral describes it as "eukaryotic LSU rRNA". The stretch from base 140 to 293 matches the Rfam family "5.8S ribosomal RNA". The record is from RNAcentral. Lineage: Eukaryota; Fungi; Ascomycota; Pichiomycetes; Serinales; Debaryomycetaceae.
AAUGGAUUGCUUAUUGCACCACAUGUGUUUUUCUUUGAAACAAACUUGCUUUGGCGGUGGGCCCAGCCUGCCGCCAGAGGUCUAAACUUACAACCAAUUUUUUAUCAACUUGUCACACCAGAUUAUUACUAAUAGUCAAAACUUUCAACAACGGAUCUCUUGGUUCUCGCAUCGAUGAAGAACGCAGCGAAAUGCGAUACGUAAUAUGAAUUGCAGAUAUUCGUGAAUCAUCGAAUCUUUGAACGCACAUUGCGCCCUCUGGUAUUCCGGAGGGCAUGCCUGUUUGAGCGUCGUUUCUCCCUCAAACCGCUGGGUUUGGUGUUGAGCAAUACGACUUGGGUUUGCUUGAAAGACGGUAGUGGUAAGGCGGGAUCGCUUUGACAAUGGCUUAGGUCUAACCAAAAACAUUGCUUGCGGCGGUAACGUCCACCACGUAUAUCUUCAAACUUUGACCUCAAAUCAGGUAGGACUACCCGCUGAACUUAAGCAUAUCAAUAGCCCG